AGUGAACGCUAGCGGUGCGCCUAACACAUGCAAGUCGAGCGGCCUUCGGGCAGCGGCGAACGGCUGAGUAACACGUGGGAGCCUACCUUGAACUCAGGGAUAACUCCUCGAAAGAGGGGCUAAUACCGGAUGUCCCGGCAACGGGAAAGAUUUUUCGGUUCAAGAGGGGCCUACGGCCUAUCAGGUAGUUGGUGGGGUAAUAGCCUACCAAGCCUAUGACGGGUAACUGGUCUGAGAGGAUGACCAGUCAGAAUGGGACUGAGACACGGCCCAU
RNAcentral lists this ribosomal RNA (274 nucleotides) under uncultured bacterium. Its description in RNAcentral is "partial 16S ribosomal RNA". It matches the Rfam family "Bacterial small subunit ribosomal RNA", at positions 29 to 334 of the family's 1533-position model. The record is from RNAcentral.